RNAcentral lists this long non-coding RNA (1413 nucleotides) under Oryza sativa Indica Group (long-grained rice). Its description in RNAcentral is "lncRNA OsMH63_01G036410". Lineage: Eukaryota; Viridiplantae; Streptophyta; Magnoliopsida; Poales; Poaceae. The record is from RNAcentral.
AUCCUUGCGACCUCCGCCCCAAGAGUCCUCGCCGCCGGCCAGCGCUACCAUCUUCUCGCAGUGCAAGCAGCCAUCGCCUUGUCGCCUUACUUGCCGGCGACCCAGCGCCGCUUCGUCGUCGUCGAGCUAGCGGCGCCGCAGCUCUCCCCUGGAGCCAUUGUCCUGCACCACCUCCCCGCGGACACGGUGCCGGCUGCAGCCGUAGUCUUCUCGUGGAUCCACCGGCCAACACCGCCACCAACCAUCUCGUCCACGGCCAUCUCCUCGCUUCUCAUGGCUGCUGCUCGUCGGCUCCUCCACACUUCUCCAGUUGGUACUGCCAUGCUCUGUGCGUAGGAUACACACUGGUCUGGGAUAUCAAUAAUGUUCCUCUUCUUUUGUAGGUUUCAUGGCUUUGCAGAUGCUUUUGUAGCUUUCAUGUGAUGACGAGGGCCUUCAUUUGUGCGAAUAUACACAAGUUGCUGGCAUUUCUUCAUUUUGCAUAGUACAAACUCUGCUGGUAUGUGCAAAUGAGGCCAUAUGGAUGGUUCAUCACCAUGAGGCUUCAAUCCAUAGUAACCGGCAAGGUCACAAAUUUAUCAUAACAGGAUUGAUGUGCAAAUCUGAUUAGAAAAGGGAGUAAAUUACAGACAGAUCAGGACUCUUUUCACUUUUUACUGAUGACAUGCUUCCUCAGUUAAUGAUGCUUUUAUUGAUCCGCUGCUUCUUCCACUCCAUGCGGUACACCUGUGAAAUGUGCCUGCUUUGACUAUUUUGUAUACAACAAUACAAGUACCCACCUCUUUCCUCUUGACAAGUGCCCACCUCUCCAUCAACCCCUUUCCUUCUCUCUAGGUGAGUAUUAAAGCUGCUGUCAUAUAUAUGGUGUUUGCUUCUUAAAAUUCUUUUGCUUUACAUAAAACUGCAAUCCAGACUAUGAACGAGCACUUAUGGUUGAAAUCCUAUAGCUCUUAAUUAUUAUUACUCUGAAUGUCUACUACUUUGCUAUGCUUCUUAUUUUCAGGGUAAACAUGUGCCAUGAAAAGUUGCAUUAGGUAAGUCUCAGCCAGCUAUUGCUGAUAAUCUGGCAUGAGCUACAUUUUUGUUAGGCUACAUUACUGUUGUUAUGGAAAAAUGAAAAGGUAUUAAACUGGGGUACUAUUGUUGCUAAUCUGGGAUGAGUUAGAUUUUUGUUGGGCUGCAUUACUGUUGUUAUGGAAAAUGGAAAGGUAUUAAGCAGGGGUACAUAUGUGUUGCUAAUCUGGGAUCAACUACAUUUAUUUCCCAGUUAGGUUCAUCUCUAGCAGCAUCAGCUUUAUAGAUCUUUUAUCUUAGUUAAUCCUAUUGAAUAGUGCUAUUUUGCCUUAAUUUUCCUUUCUUAUCUUCUGGAAUAGCAUAUCUUUACUUUCCUAAUUAUUUUCUACAAUAAUAUAA